UCGUCGUAUGUUAUAUGUGUCAUACGAGACUGCCGGUAAAAAGCCGGAGGAAGGUGAGGAUGAUGUCAAGUCAGCAUGACCUUUAUAUCCAGGGCUACACACACGCUACAAUGGUCUGUACAAUGGGUAGCCAAGCCGCGAGGCGGAGCCAAUCCUGAAAGCAGGCCUCAGUUCAGAUUGCAGUCUGCAACUCGACUGCAUGAAGCCGGAGUUGCUAGUAACCGCAGGUCAGCAAUACUGCGGUGAAUACGUUCCCGGGUCUU
This 263-nucleotide ribosomal RNA is filed under the name uncultured Anaerolineaceae bacterium. Its description in RNAcentral is "partial 16S ribosomal RNA". It matches the Rfam family "Bacterial small subunit ribosomal RNA", at positions 1105 to 1382 of the family's 1533-position model. Lineage: Bacteria; Bacillati; Chloroflexota; Anaerolineae; Anaerolineales; Anaerolineaceae. The record is from RNAcentral.